GUCGAGCGCAGGAACCAGAUGACCCCUUCGGGGUGAUUCUGGCGGAAUGAGCGGCGGACGGGUGAGUAACACGUGGGCAACCUGCCUGUAAGACUGGGAUAACUUCGGGAAACCGGAGCUAAUACCGGAUAGUAUUUCCUUUCUCCUGAUUGGAAAUGGAAAGACGGUUUCGGCUGUCACUUACAGAUGGGCCCGCGGUGCAUUAGCUAGUUGGUGGGGUAAUGGCCCACCAAGGCGACGAUGCAUAGCCGACCUGAGAGGGUGAUCGGCCACACUGGGACUGAGACACGGCCCAGACUCCUACGGGAGGCAGCAGUAGGGAAUCUUCCGCAAUGGACGAAAGUCUGACGGAGCAACGCCGCGUGAGCGAUGAAGGCCUUCGGGUCGUAAAGCUCUGUUGUUAGGGAAGAACAAGUACGAGAGUAACUGCUCGUACCUUGACGGUACCUAACCAGAAAGCCCCGGCUAACUACGUGCCAGCAGCCGCGGUAAUACGUAGGGGGCAAGCGUUGUCCGGAAUUAUUGGGCGUAAAGGGCUCGUAGGCGGUUUCUUAAGUCUGAUGUGAAAGCCCACAGCUCAACUGUGGAGGGUCAUUGGAAACUGGGGAACU
This 611-nucleotide ribosomal RNA is filed under the name Terribacillus shanxiensis. RNAcentral describes it as "bacterial SSU rRNA". It matches the Rfam family "Bacterial small subunit ribosomal RNA", at positions 61 to 642 of the family's 1533-position model. Lineage: Bacteria; Bacillati; Bacillota; Bacilli; Caryophanales; Bacillaceae. The record is from RNAcentral.